UGUCUUUUUGAAAAUAAUAUAAAGUCUAAUCUGCCCACUGAUUUUAUAUUAAAGGGCUGCAGUAUUUUGACUGUACAAAGGUAGCAUAAUCAUUAGUCAUUUAAUUGAUGACUUGUAUGAAAGAUUGGAUGAAGUGUAGACUGUCUCUUAAUUAUUAGUGUAAAAUUUAAUUUUUUAAUUAAAAAGUUAAAAUAAUUUAAAAAGACGAGAAGACCCUAUAGAGUUUUAUAAAUAGAUUAAUUAAGAUUAUUUGAAAUUUAAAAUUAAAAUUAGUUUAUUUAUUAUAUUGGGGUGAUAGAAAAAUAUAUAUAACUUUUUUUUUUUGUAAAAACAUUUAUAAGUGAUUAAAUGAUCCAAUAUUAUUGAUUAUAAGAAAAAAUUACCUUAGGGAUAACAGCGUAAUUUUUUUUUUUAGUUCAUAUAAAAAAAAGAGUUUGCGACCUCGAUGUUGGAUUAAGAUAAAAUUUAAAUGUAGAAG
This 478-nucleotide ribosomal RNA is filed under the name Busseola fusca. Its description in RNAcentral is "partial 16S large subunit ribosomal RNA". The record is from RNAcentral. Lineage: Eukaryota; Metazoa; Arthropoda; Insecta; Lepidoptera; Noctuidae.